Molecule: non-coding RNA, 201 nt
Organism: Caenorhabditis elegans
Lineage: Eukaryota; Metazoa; Nematoda; Chromadorea; Rhabditida; Rhabditidae
Source: Ensembl
UCCAUUUCAUCCUGUUUCUAUUCCCUUUGCGGCACUUUUUUCUCUAAAAACUCCACUUUCAGUAUGAUAUUUCUCUCUGUGGGUUACCUCUAUGAGACCUCACAGUCCGGUAAACGAUUGGGAUAGAAAGGAAGAGAGACGCCUUUCAAUAUCUCAUUACCGCACCACAUUUUACGAGCGUAACUAAUUGCCGACAGUUCG